CUCCUUUCCAUUGCUGAACUGUGGUCUUGCUUUCUGAUUAACAGCUGGCAGGGUAAAACAACAACACACAGGGUUAUCCACAUCAAGAUCCAGGUUAUACAGAAAUUCUUCAGCCUUUUGCUGCCUUUCAUCAUCUUCUGAUUCUUGAGCUUGUAAUAGACGAAUUGUGAAAUCAAAAUGAUAUCCAUGUUAACAUAGGAGAUGGCAGUGACAGUCUGAAUUGGCAGUUGAUUUGUUAAAUAGCAGCCUAUAAGGUUUGUGAGAUCUCCAGCUAUCCAGCACAGCAGGAAGCCCAAAGACAGCGCCUGGUCCACCUUUC
This 319-nucleotide long non-coding RNA is filed under the name Gallus gallus (chicken). The record is from RNAcentral. Lineage: Eukaryota; Metazoa; Chordata; Aves; Galliformes; Phasianidae.